Molecule: ribosomal RNA, 468 nt
Filed under: uncultured bacterium
Lineage: Bacteria
Description: partial 16S ribosomal RNA
Rfam family: Bacterial small subunit ribosomal RNA
Source: RNAcentral
GACGAACGCUGGCGGCGUGCUUAACACAUGCAAGUCGAACGGAAAGGCCCUGCUUUUGUGGGGUGCUCGAGUGGCGAACGGGUGAGUAACACGUGAGUAACCUGCCCUUGACUUUGGGAUAACUUCAGGAAACUGGGGCUAAUACCGGAUAGGAGCUCCUGCUGCAUGGUGGGGGUUGGAAAGUUUCGGCGGUUGGGGAUGGACUCGCGGCUUAUCAGCUUGUUGGUGGGGUAGUGGCUUACCAAGGCUUUGACGGGUAGCCGGCCUGAGAGGGUGACCGGCCACAUUGGGACUGAGAUACGGCCCAGACCCCUACGGGAGGCAGCGGGGGGGAAUAUUGCACAAUGGGCGGAAGCCGGAUGCAGCAACGCCGGGUGCGGGAGGACGGCCUUCGGGUUGUAAACCGCUUUCGCCUGUGACGAAGCGUGAGUGACGGUAAUGGGUAAAGAAGCACCGGCUAACUACGUG